AGCAAGAUAAGCUAACCAAGCUCCUGGGCCCAUACCCCAGCCAUGCCGGUGAAAAUCCCGCUCUUGCUA
Molecule: transfer RNA, 69 nt
Filed under: Bothus robinsi (twospot flounder)
Lineage: Eukaryota; Metazoa; Chordata; Actinopteri; Pleuronectiformes; Bothidae
Description: tRNA-Met
Source: RNAcentral